GAGCAUCUACUGCAUACCAGGCUCAUGCUGCCUUCUAAGGAUAAAAAAAAAAAAAAAAAAGGUUAGGGGAGGAGGUUCACCCCUCAGGGUAACUGUGUUCCCUGAGUAGGAGGUGGGGUUACUGGUGUGGCAUGAGGGUGUCUGUAAGUCUAAGAGAUGCACAGCACUGUAAAAAACCCUAAAUCAACCUAUUUAAGGAAGUCAGUCUCAAGGCUCCCAGAUAAAAAUCACUGAGUUUUUAUGUAUUUAUUUAUUUCAGAGACAGAGUCUCACUCUAUCACCCAGGCUGGAGUGCAAUGGAAAAUUCACAGCUCACUACAGCCUCAAACUCCUGGACUCAAGUGAUCCUCCUGCCUCAGCCUCCCGAGUAGCUGAGACUACAGGUGCACCACUCCGUCCAGCUUGACUUCUUUGAGUUUUAGUAGAGAAGAGGUCUCGCUGUGCUGCCCAGGCUGGUCUUGAACUCCUGGCCUCAAGCUAUCCUCCCGCUUCAGCUUCCCAAAGUGCUUGGAUUACAGGUGUGAGCCACCGUACCCGGUCAUUAAUUUAUUCAAUGACUAUUUUACUAGGUUCCUACAAAUAAUACCCACUAACAUUUAACAUGUGUUGACCAUUUACUGUGUCACAUAAACAACACGGGCACUAUAUUUGCCACCAUUUUAUAGGUUAGAGAGUUGGGGCACAGAGAGGUUGAAGAAUGGACUCAAAGUUCCAUAGACUGGUACCGUUGAGAUUAGAACUCAGGCAAGCCUGGUGCCCAUAUUCUUGCUCGUAACUGUGAGGUAUAUACCCUCUCAUCCUGGUAGCGUCUCUUCUAGGCAGAGAGGGCACGCAGAGAAUAAAUGUAACCCUGGCCUCAAGGAGCUCACAGCCAGGUUGGGGAGGCCGGAAAGAAGGCAGACAAUUGUCAUAACUUCUGAGAAGUGCAACAGUAAGGGCAACACAGAAUGAUGCUGGAGGGCAACCACUCCACUCCGGAAAGAAGAGAUCAGGGAGGGCUUCCUGUAGGAAGUGAUGCCUCAAAUGAGAUCUGACCAGUGACUAAGCUAUAUGAAAGGGUGGGGUGGGGAAGCAAGUGGGGAGUGCUCUGGGCAGAAGGAGCAGUCAUUCAGUCUGGCUAGGGUAAUCAUCAUUCAUUUAUUUAUUCACCAAGUAUUUAUUGGGCACCCACUGAAUGCCAGGCUUUGGACUAGGCCAUGCGAUGGAGCAAUGAAUAAGACAAUGAGGCCCAGCCACGAAAGAGCCUAUCCUCUAGUUGGGGGAGACAGGCAAUGCACACACACAAAACAAACAGAUCAGAAAAGUGGCAGGAGGUCAGGCGCGGUGUCUCAUGCCUGUAAUCCCAGCACUUUGGGAGGCCGAGGCGGGAGAGGCGGGGGGAGAUCACCUGAGGUCAGGAGUUUGAGAUCAGCCUGGCCAACUUGGUGAAAAUCCAUCUCUACUAAAAAUACAAAAUUUAGCCAGGCGUGGUGGCGGGCACCUAUAAUCCCAGCUACUUGGGAAGCUGAGGCGAGAGAAUUGCUUGAACCUAGAAGGCAGAGGUUGCAGUGAGCCGAGAUCUCGCCACUGCACUCCAGCCUGGGUGACAGCAAGAGCAAGGCUGUCUCAAAAAAAAAAAAA
Molecule: long non-coding RNA, 1620 nt
Organism: Macaca fascicularis (crab-eating macaque)
Lineage: Eukaryota; Metazoa; Chordata; Mammalia; Primates; Cercopithecidae
Source: Ensembl